Molecule: non-coding RNA, 26 nt
Filed under: Rattus norvegicus (Norway rat)
Lineage: Eukaryota; Metazoa; Chordata; Mammalia; Rodentia; Muridae
Source: RNAcentral
GGAGUAACUGGAUUUAGCAAGGACCU